Candidatus Nanosalinarum sp. J07AB56 is the source of this 72-nucleotide transfer RNA. It matches the Rfam family "tRNA". Rfam says of the family: Transfer RNA (tRNA) molecules are approximately 80 nucleotides in length. The record is from Rfam. NCBI's taxonomy places the organism in Archaea, Methanobacteriati, Methanobacteriota, Candidatus Nanohaloarchaea.
GCCCCGUUGGCUCAGCGGUAGAGCGCGUCCUUGGUAAGGACGAGGUCCCGGGUUCAAAUCUCGGACGGGGCU